RNAcentral lists this unclassified non-coding RNA (520 nucleotides) under uncultured Glomus. RNAcentral's name for it is "SSU rRNA". It matches the Rfam family "Eukaryotic small subunit ribosomal RNA", at positions 569 to 1090 of the family's 1831-position model. Lineage: Eukaryota; Fungi; Glomeromycota; Glomeromycetes; Glomerales; Glomeraceae. The record is from RNAcentral.
AGCAGCCGCGGUAAUUCCAGCUCCAAUAGCGUAUAUUAAAGUUGUUGCAGUUAAAAAGCUCGUAGUUGAAUUUCGGGAUCAGUUGGUCGGUCGUGCCUCGGUACGUACUGGUCAAAUUGAUUCCUACCUUCUGACGAACCACGAUGUCAUUAAUUUGGUGUCGCGGGAAAUCAGGACUGUUACUUUGAAAAAAUUAGAGUGUUUAAAGCAGGCUCGCGCUUGAAUACAUUAGCAUGGAAUAAUGAAAUAGGACGUUUGAUUCUAUUUUGUUGGUUUCUAGGAUCGACGUAAUGAUUAAUAGGGAUAGUUGGGGGCAUUAGUAUUCAAUUGUCAGAGGUGAAAUUCUUGGAUUUAUUGAAGACUAACUACUGCGAAAGCAUUUGCCAAGGAUGUUUUCAUUAAUCAAGAACGAAAGUUAGGGGAUCGAAGACGAUCAGAUACCGUCGUAGUCUUAACCAUAAACUAUGCCGACUAGGGAUCGGAUGAUGUUAAUUUUUUAAUGUACUCAUUCGGCGCCUUA